GGAUGUAGCUCAAUGAUAGAGAGCUUGCCUAACAUACAGAAGGCCCUGGGUUCAACCCCCAGCACUACA
This 69-nucleotide transfer RNA is filed under the name Marmota monax (woodchuck). Its description in RNAcentral is "tRNA.Val". The record is from RNAcentral. Lineage: Eukaryota; Metazoa; Chordata; Mammalia; Rodentia; Sciuridae.